CUACAUAUAUAUAUACACAUAUUUGAAACAGAAAAAAAACCCUUCCAGUUCUGAAGAAUGAAGGUAAAAACUGUCGGAACUGAAAAAUUAAUGUCAAGAAUUAACUGUAUUUAUUGUCAAUAUUAUUGACUAUUCUGUAGCUUUACAUGUAUUUCAUCCCUGCAUUAAAAUAAAAACAUUCAGAAUAACUCAAUACAGACUGUGCAACAAGAGCAACACAACCUGUAAUUUAAAAAGUGGUAAUAGCAUCUAGAAAGAAUUAAUUAUCCAAUUAAAACGUAUUCAUUAAAAAAAAAAAAACUUGAAGGAGAACUCAGCAGUCUUAACUUUUAUACACUCAAAAAAAGAGCCAAAAAGUAACAUUUUCUGUUCAAAAGCCUGUUCACAGUUCCAUACACAGGCACGAAGGCCUAAGGAAUGCACAGCUGGGCUAAACCGGACAAAAAUAAAGUGUGAGAACAGUGGCUUCUCUUUUAAUCACCUAAUAUUUAACUGGAUUCCAAGGAAAACUGUAGUCAGUUUUCAGAAGUUCUAUCAAAGCCAAGGAAUAAUGGAGUUAAGAGGGACAGGCAGGACAAGACCUGGCUUUAAGGCAGCUCAGCAUUCCUUCACCUGCCACAAAAAUGUCCCCAGAGAAGCUGGAAGGACAAGGAAUGUGCAAAGGCAUUUUGGCAUCUCCUCCACCAUCCCAACUUGGGGUUUGCUGCAAUUCCUUAUUCCCCAGAACUCCCAGAACUCCGUCUCUGUGCGUUAUUUACAGGAGGUCAUUCCAUGGGAUCACCCCAUGGAUGCAGCUGGAGUGACCCUAAGGAGGUCAUUCCAUGGGAUCACCCCAUGGAUGCAGCUGGAGGGACCCAAGGAGGUCAUUCCAUGGGAUCACCCCAUGGAUGCAGCUGGAAGUGACCUUGAGGAGGUCAUUCCAUGGGAUCACCCCAUGGAUGCAGCUGGAGGGACCCAAGGAGGUCAUUCCAUGGGAUCACCCCAUGGAUGCAGCUGGAAGGAGCCAAGGAGGUCAUUCCAUGGGAUCACCCCAUGGAUGCAGCUGGAAGGAGCCAAGGAGGUCAUUCCAUGGGAUCACCCCAUGGAUGCAGCUGGAGGGACCCAAGGAGGUCAUUCCAUGGGAUCACCCCAUGGAUGCAGCUGGAAGAGACCCUAAGGAGGUCAUUCCAUGGGAUCAGCCCAUGGAUGCAGCA
Taeniopygia guttata (zebra finch) is the source of this 1193-nucleotide non-coding RNA. The record is from RefSeq and is a predicted model, not a curated record. NCBI's taxonomy places the organism in Eukaryota, Metazoa, Chordata, Aves, Passeriformes, Estrildidae.